AACCGGGGGAACUGAAACAUCUAAGUACCCGGAGGAGGAGAAAACAAAAGUGAUUUCGUAAGUAGCGGCGAGCGAACGCGAAUUAGCCCAAACCGGUGUUGUUACGGCAAUGCCGGGGUUGUAGGACUGCGCUAUUGGUUGUGCGAUGAAUUAGAACACGUUGGAAAGCGUGGCCAUAGACGGUGAUAGCCCGGUAUAAGUAAAGACCAUUAACCAUAGCAGUAUCCUGAGUAGUGCGGGGCACGUGAAACCCUGUAUGAAUUAGUCGGGACCAUCCGAUAAGGCUAAAUACUCCUGAGAGACCGAUAGUGAACUAGUACCGUGAGGGAAAGGUGAAAAGCACCCCGGCGAGGGGAGUGAAACAGUACCUGAAACCGAACGCCUGC
Molecule: ribosomal RNA, 386 nt
Filed under: Heterosigma akashiwo
Lineage: Eukaryota; Raphidophyceae; Chattonellales; Chattonellaceae
Description: partial Bacterial large subunit ribosomal RNA
Rfam family: Bacterial large subunit ribosomal RNA
Source: RNAcentral